GCAUAAUCAUUAGCCUGCUAAUUUCAGGCUGGAAUCAAUGGCAAGACGAAGAAAAUGCUGUCUCUUUACAUUAUGUGUGAAAUUUACUUUUUGGUGAAGAGGCUAAAAUAGUUGAGCGGGACGAGAAGACCCUAUUGAGCUUUAAUUUUACUAUAAAGUAAGUUUUUAUAGAAAGGUUUUGAUUGGGGCAAUGAUUUUUUUAAUUAGACAAAUAAGGAUAAAAAAAGAAUUAAUUCUAUUAUAGACCCAGAAUGUUACUGGUAGACAGAAAAAGUUACCAUAGGGAUAACAGCGUAAUUC
RNAcentral lists this ribosomal RNA (300 nucleotides) under Astrocharis sp. m RX-2022. Its description in RNAcentral is "partial large subunit ribosomal RNA". It matches the Rfam family "Archaeal large subunit ribosomal RNA", at positions 2036 to 2557 of the family's 2987-position model. The record is from RNAcentral. Lineage: Eukaryota; Metazoa; Echinodermata; Ophiuroidea; Euryalida; Asteroschematidae.